This 1934-nucleotide long non-coding RNA is filed under the name Lathyrus oleraceus (garden pea). RNAcentral describes it as "Pisum sativum (pea) long non-coding RNA (PSAT_LNC035172)". The record is from RNAcentral. Lineage: Eukaryota; Viridiplantae; Streptophyta; Magnoliopsida; Fabales; Fabaceae.
UUUCCAAAUCCGUUGGAUAGAAAGAAUCUGAUUAAAAGUGCAAGGGAACAUUACAUAACAAUAAACACGCAUAAAAUUAUUACGUGACCGAAACGAAAAUGUAUGAACUUAUCAUAAUUAUUAUGAAGGUGCCAUGGGGUGUAAAUAGUAACAGUCAGGUGGAUUUAUAUAAAAUGUCAAAAUAAUGCCCACCAAAGUCACUUGCCUUAAAUCUUACAAUAAAUAAAAAUGAAAUAGAAGAUAUAAAAGUGAAAUUUAAGGCACUACAGUAUCAAAACCGGUGGAUGCCAAUGCCAGUGCCAAUCACACUUAUUCCAAACCAUUAAUAAGGAAAGUUCAUUUUUAUUUUUAUAAGAAGCACCAGGAUACUAGUCAUGCUAAAACAUACCUGCUACCACAACAACACAGAGGGGCAACGAUUCCCAGAAUAAAUGUGUCUCAUACAUAAAUUAAAAUAACAACUAGCAGGCUAACAUUAAUUUCAAACAUAUGUUGUAACACCAUGCCAAUGCUAAGGUUCAUCAAGCAUUUAUACAAAUAACAUCAAAAUAAUUUAGACAAAUACCCCUCAAAUAAUAUGCUUAUGCCAUCACAACAAAAUCAUAUUACAGAAGGUACAAAAAGUAUAUCUUAAAAUCAACUCAUGAUUAAUACUAACUUGAAGAAAUCAUAAUAGAAAUAUCUUUAACCACAAACAACUAUCAACUUCAAAAAAUGCAAUUGGCCAAGAAUAAGAAAAAGAUGAAAACAACAAUGCUGAAACGUGAAGAAUACUUACACGGCGAAAAAAACGGUAAAGCUACGAUCUGAGUUUUGGAUCCUUAAGAACCAAACAAUGCUCUUCCACCACAAACGGUAAAGAUGUUGGUUCCCUCGCCAUCGACGCAUGGUUGGCGUUCUUCCACCACAACAUCCGGCGGUUCUUGGUUAUGUGAGAUGAAUAACCUGCAUAUAUUUCAACAACAAAUACACCACACAAAUAUUUCGAAUUCACAAUUGAUUCCCGGAGAGACCGGAGGAGCAACAAGACGGAAAAUCUCGACCGCCAAUCAUGGGAGAAAUAGCAGAGUUGGAGAGAGGGUACAUGCUGGGAUGAUUUGAAGGUGCGGAUGAACGGUGGUUGGGUUGCGAAGCGGAGUUAAUUCACUGGCAUGAGGAAAAAGUCUCGCCGGAGGUUAUCGGCAGUACGGAGAAAAGUGGUGGUGACGGUUUUGCGGCGGCGAAGGUGGUUUUGUGGAGAAGACGAUGGGGGAUGGUGGUAGGUGUGUUCCAAGAAGAUAAACAGUAAGAGAGAUUUAAUGUAUUCUUUUUCUCUUCUUUUUNAGGAGGAAGAGAUUAACCUGCAUAGAUAUUUCAACAACAAAACACCAGACAACGGCAAGAGAGUUCGUCGAUUCGACGGAUGUGAUUGACUUGAGGAGCCGGAGGAGUAACAAGACGAAAACGAUCCGCCAGAUCAUGGGAACGAGAAUAAAAGAAGUGGAGAAGAGAGGGCCGGAAUGAUUUGAGUGCCGAUUCGGACGGUGGUUGGGUGUGCGAAGGGCGGCGGAGUUAAUUCACUGGCAGAGGAAAAAGAUCUCGCUGCGAGUUUAUCGGCAGUACGGAGAAAAGUGGUGGUGACGGUUUUGCGGCGGCGAAGGUGGUUUUGUGGAGAAGACGAUGGGGGAUGGUGGUAGGUGUGUUCCAAGAAGAUAAACAGUAAGAGAGAUUUAAUGUAUUCUUUUUCUCUUCUUUUUAUUUUCUUUUUACAGAGAGAAUAUGUGUGUGGUAGUGAGGUAGCGUGAGGGAGUGAGAGAGAUGAUGGAGAGUGUUUUUCUUUUUUAACCUUUUCUCCUUUUCACAUAGAGAGAGUAAAGAGUCUGUUAGUUAAAAAGUGGGAAUGGGGUGCCCUUAAUAAUGAGUGGAAGAGAGAGUAUAUGAGUGAGAAAACGUGU